UGAUGACACGUUCUCCGGAAUCUCUGUACUCCCUUGAUGAUUAGAGUUGAACCCUUUUAACUGAUGACUGCUGGUGGCUGAU
Molecule: small nucleolar RNA, 82 nt
Organism: Scleropages formosus (Asian bonytongue)
Lineage: Eukaryota; Metazoa; Chordata; Actinopteri; Osteoglossiformes; Osteoglossidae
Gene: SNORD68
Product: small nucleolar RNA MBII-202
Source: Ensembl